Molecule: long non-coding RNA, 5748 nt
Filed under: Triticum aestivum (bread wheat)
Lineage: Eukaryota; Viridiplantae; Streptophyta; Magnoliopsida; Poales; Poaceae
Description: long non-coding RNA (TAES_LNC025338)
Source: RNAcentral
UUCUAAACAUAUCUAUAGUAUUAUGGACUAGAACUAUGCAGAAAAAUAAACAUCCAGUCAUCUUGCAUUACCUUCAUAAAAAAUGACAUAAUUGAGGUGACUUCAGUACCCCUUUUUGUGUAUACAUCAAGAUUUCUAACAAAAAAUGAUCGAAAACAUAGAGGUUACUUACAGAUCAUGCCAUAGGAGGGCACAUCCUAGUUAAAAACAAAUGUGAAUACAGUGUUUCUUGUUAACCUGGGACAUAUGUAACAAUGGAUGCAUGCACAAUGUAAUAGAAUCAGUCAAUUCUAGCAGCUGCAUAACAUUUUAGCACAUCAAAAGAGCAUAAUACAGGAAAAACGCCAUAAUUAUCAGUUCUUGUUUAAUCUCAACGGGGCAUAAUGUCACAAUUAUUACAUAGAGAUAUAUUGAUCCUAAAUAAGAGUACAUGGAGCAGUAUUGCCAUAAUCUAGCUCCAGAUAGCCCCUUAUAGGACAUGAUCCAUUAAAAAAUGUAGUAGUACAGAUCUGACACUUUCAACCAACUAUGUGUAGAUGGAAGAUCAUAAACAUAGCUAUCUGAAUUUAUAUAAAACCUGACAGAGGUGGCCGAUCAAGAUGAGCUAAUUUCAGAUUAGCCGAGCAGGCGGCCAUGACGGUGCAGUGGCGACCGAGAGGACUUGAAAUUCACCAUGUUCGAUACAUGUAAUACGAGCAGGAGAUACACAUGGACGGCGAUGAUUUUUAGGGCAGGAAAUGAAUAAAUCUCGAGAAGGACACGAACAGCUUGAUGUGGUGAGGAUGAAGGGAAUGGAGAAGAUGAGGAGGAGGGAAACUCAAUCAGGGGCGUUGGCACCAAAUACCUUAGAUGACGGCCAAUGGGAGCGGAGUUGCUCCACUUCUCAACGGGGAUAGCGAUAUGACUACUCUUCUGUGGCGUAGAUGGGCGGAUCCGCAUGCUUCUGGGUAACCGGGCGGUGGUGGCAGCCGCUCUUGAGGAGGUCGCCGAGGUUGAGCGCGUCGUGGCUGCCGACACCUCCUGGCGGCGGAUCUGACCGGGCACCUGGAUCCGUGGAGAGCAAACAGAGAAGCUCAAUCCUUGUCCGUCGGAGGCGGCGGUGUUCAUGCACAACAUCUGGCUGGGGCGCCGUCCGGUGGUGCGUGGGUGCGGGUUGAGGGCGUCGCCUGCUCUACCAAGAUGGAAAAGUAUAUAGAUACGGGAGAUGGGCCGAUGGGCUUAUUUUAUCAGUUUUUAUACCAAUUCAGCGGCAAUGGAAGACAAAACAUGCCCGCUUCGACUAAUUACCAGAGUUCCCCUAAAAAAAGACUAAUUACCAGAGUUUGAUCACAUGAUUUGUGAGAAAAAUUGCUGAGGUGGCAUGCUGUUGAUGUGGAUAGUAUGUAUGUCAAGAGAAAUAAGGUAGUGGGGAUGAGCUAUUUAGGUAUUAUAGAUUAGAAGUAUGAGAUACGGUUUGCAUGGGCUAAAAAAUAAUGUUAGUGGAUGUUGACGUGGCAUACUUGAUGAGGCGGAAUGCUUGGAUGUUAAGAGAAUUCAAGGUAGUGACAAUCAACUAUUUAGGUAUACUAGAUAAAAUGAACCGGCUCAUCAUAAAAUCGUGAAGUGUUAUGUGAUGGAAACGUUCCAGGAACCUUCCACGCUGGUGUGAAGCUUCCGUAUGAUUUUUUCAAGGUGUUUUCCGGUUUUAUUUUUUUAUUUUUCUCUUUGUAUUUUCACUGUUUUUUUUGUUUUUUCUUCAUAUUUUUAUGUUUCUUAGUGUCUUCCAUUUUUCCAGGUUUAUUUUAUUUUUUAUUUUUUAUUUGACCUUUUCACUGGUUGGUGAGGUGAGGUGCAUGGGCGUGGAAAAUUUUACUCGGCGACCGAGAGGUCGAGUAUAUUUACUCCUCACGGCCGCUCGAAGUAAAAUUUGUACUCACCUAGCGGUUAUAUGAGUUCGGCUAGUUCCGAUUUAAAGAAGUAAACCACAAAUUUUACUUCUCUAACCGGUUAUAGGGGGGCCGGUUAGAGUUGCUCUUAGGACUCGAUAUGGGUGAGGCAUAGCUCGCACCCGAUGGGAAGGAUUGUUCGCAUAUGUUGCCUUCGUAAGUGGACGUCAACUCUAUAUCGGCAUCCUCUUUUACAACUAAAACUCCCUUUUUUAUUGAUAUGUGAUAGCAGUUACAUCUUUUAGUAGCAAAGAGGAAGUAAAACAAUCGGGGCAUCAUCAAUCCACUCAUUACGAAAACUAAAUCUAGCCGCACGGGCUAGUUCAUGGGCAACACCAUUUACUUUUCUAGGGCAGGACUCAAAACGAAUUGAACUGAAAUCACAUGCCGAAUGGUAGCAAUCGUUAAUGAUGGCGGCUGCAUUAUUUGCAUAGUGUCCCCCUUGUUCAUAAUCUCUAUUUCUAAUGGACGAGUUGAUUGAAUAGUCCCACCACUUUCGUCUGAUUUUUUUUCGUCCGGUUUAUUUUCGCCUCACCUCCCACCACCACUCCCAUGUUAAUUUUUUCUUCUUCACACUUAAAACCGAAUCGUGUCUGAUACUUCUUCCAUUUAUUCAUGCUUGCUUUGGCAGGUGUCGAUUCAAUCAAUCAUGUAAAUAUUUGGUAAUUAAGAAUUCAUAAAUAAUACCAUAUACAUGAGAUCACUUUUCAAACAAAUCACCUCCCUCUCCAAUUUAUUUCUCCCAUUAAUCUCCUUCCAUCCUAAUAAAGCACGCAUUACAUUCCUAAUUAAGGAAGAAAAUAAAAAAAGAACCUCCACCCGCACGACCCCUCCCACGCCUCCAGUGCGCCGCACCUGCCACCACGUUGCUGCGUGCCACCCCCGCCUCCAGUGCGCUGCCUCCAGUGCCCCGCCACCCACCGCCACGCUGCUGCGUGCCGCCGGGCGUGGCGGCGGCGAUCUCCGGCCAGAUCUGGCUGAGGAUCUUCACCUGCAACUAACAACGCUAUAAGAGGGGCUGAGCAAAGCGAUAACAAGCUCCAAUCUUCACCUGCAACUAACAACGCUAUAAGAGGGGCUGAGCAAAGCGGUAACAUAGCCAAACAACGGUUUGCUAGGACAAGGUGGGUUAGAGGCUUGGUUUAACAACACGGGAGGCAUGAUAAGCAAGUGGUAGGUAUCGCAACAUAGGCAUAGCAAAAGAGCGAGUAACUAGCAAGCAAAGAUAGAAGUGAUUUCGAGGGUAUGGUCAUCUUGCCUGAAAUCCCGCAAGGAAGAAGAACGAGUCCAUGAAGAAGACAAACGGACGUAGUCGAAGGGGUCCUCACAAACGCGACGUUACCGGAACCAACCCGAAGAAGCAACUCCGGAAAGAAGCACACAACAUAGUAAACAAACCACACAUGAACAUGGUAUGAUAUGCGGGAUGCGGUAUGUGAUGCAUAUGCAUGAUUUGGAAAGGAAUGAUUGAACCUGACCUCAACUUGGAAAUUCAAGAGUGCCACUGGAAAGGUGAGGUGAUUUACAGAAUUGAGCAUAGUUAUGAGAAUAUCUGUAUGAUCAUGCGUAUAGGCAUCACGUCCGAGACAAGUAGACCGACUCCUGUCUGCAUCUACUACUAUUACUCCACUCAUCGACCGCUAUCCAGCAUGCAUCUAGAGUAUUAAGUUCAUGAAAACAGAGUAACGCCUUAAGUAAGAUAACAUGAUGUAGAGGGAUAAAUUCAUGCAAUAUGAUAAAAAAAACCAUCUUGUUAUCCUCGAUGGCAACAAUACAAUAUGUGCCUUGCUGCCCCUACUGUCACUGGGAAAGGACACCACAAGAUUGAACCCAAAGCUAAGCACUUCUCCCAUUGCAAGAAAGAUCAAUCUAGUAGGCCAAACCAAAUUGAUAAUUCGAAGAGAUUUGUAAAGAUAAGCAAUCAUACAUAAAAGAACUCAGAGAAGAUUCAAAUAUUGUUCAUAGAUAAUCUUGAUUAUAAACCUACAAUUCAUCGGUCUCAACAAACACACCGCAAAAAGAAGAUUACAUCGAAUAGAUCUCCACAAGAGAGGGGAAGAACAUUAUAUUGAGAUCCAAAAAGAGAGAAGAAGCCAUCUAGCUAAUAACUAUGGACCCGAAGAUCUGAAGUAAACUACUCACACUUCAUCGGAGAGACUAUGGUGUUGAUGUAGAAGCCCUCCGUGAUGGAUGCCCCCUCCGGCGGAGCUCCGGAACAAGCCCCAAGAUGGGAUCUCGUGGAUACAGAAGGUUGCAACGGUGGAAUUAGGUUUUUGGCUCCGUUUCUAAUCGUUUGGGGGUACGUAGGUAUAUAUAGGAGGAAGGAGUAUGUCGGUCGAGCAACAGGGGGCCCAUGAGGGUGGAGGGCGCGCCUAGGGGGGUAGGCGCGCCCCCUACCUCGUGGCUUCCCUGUUGGUUGCUUGACAUAGGGUCCAAGUCUCCUGGAUCUUGUUUGUCCCAAAAAUCACGUUCCCAAAUGUUUCAUUCCGUUUGGACUCCGUUUGAUAUUCUUUUUCUUCGAAACUCUAAAAUAGGCAAAAACAGCAAUUCUGGGCUGGGCCUCCGGUUAAUAGGUUAGUCCCAAAAAUAAUAUAAAAGUGGAUAAUAAAGACCAAUAAUGUCCGAGACAGUAGAUAAUAUAUCAUGGAGCAAUAAAAAAUUAUAGAUACGUUGGAGACGUAUCAAGCAUCCCCAAGCUUAAUUCCUGCUCGUCCUCGAGUAGGUAAAUGAUAAAAAAGAUAAUUUUUGAUGUGAAGUGCUACUUGGCAUAAUUUUAAUGUAAUUCUUCUUAAUUGUGGUAUGAAUAUUAAGAUUCGAAUCAUUCAAGAUAAAAGUUUAAUAUUGACAUAAAAAUAAUAAUACUUCAAGCAUACUAACAAAGCAAUCAUGUCUUCUCAAAAUAACAUGGCCAAAGAAAGUUAUCCCUACAAAAUCAUAUAGUCUGGCUAUGCUCUAUCUUCACCACACAAAGUAUUUAAAUCAUGCACAACCCUGAUGACAAGCCAAUCAAUUGUUUCAUACUUUUGACAUUCUCAAACUUUUUCAAUCUUCACGCAAUACAUGAGCGUGAGCCAUGGAUAUAGCACUAUAGGUGGAAUAGAAUGGUGGUUGUGAAGAAGACAAAAAGAGAGAAGAUAGUCUCAUAUCAAUUAGGCGUAUCAACGGGCUAUGGAGAUGCCAAUUAAUAGAUAUCAAUGUGAGUGAGUAGGAUUGCCAUGCAACGGAUGCAUUAGAGCUAUAAGUAUAUAAAAGCUCAAAAAAAACUAAGUGGGUGUGCAUCCAACUCGCUUGCUCAUGAAGACCUAGGGCAAUUUGAGGAAGCCCAUCAUUGAAAUAUACUUAUAGCAUUUACUUUGACUCAUCUCAAAAAGUAGGUAAAUAAAUGUCAUUAGUCCAGAUAGAAUCAUAAGGUUCGUGCUUCUAAACAUAUCUGAGGUUUCAACUUCUAAACAUAUCUAUAGUAUUAUGGACUAGAACUAUGCAGAAAAAUAAACAUCCAGUCAUCUUGCAUUACCUUCAUAAAAAGUGACAUAAUUGAGGUGACUUCAGUACCCCUUUUUGUGUAUACAUCAAGAUUUCUAACAAAAAAUGAUCGAAAACAUAGAGGUUACUUACAGAUCAUGCCAUAGGAGGGCACAUCCUAGUUAAAAACAAAUGCGAAUACAGUGUUUCUUGUUAACCUGGGACAUAUGUAACAAUGGAUGCAUGCACAAUGUAAUAGAAUCAGUCAAAUCUAGCAGCUGCAUAACAUUUUAGCACAUCAAAAGAGCAUAAUACAGGAAAAACGCCAUAAUUAUCAGUUCUUGUUUAAUCUCAGCGGGGC